RNAcentral lists this long non-coding RNA (818 nucleotides) under Anas platyrhynchos platyrhynchos (common mallard). RNAcentral describes it as "lncRNA (ENSAPLG00000024612.1)". Lineage: Eukaryota; Metazoa; Chordata; Aves; Anseriformes; Anatidae. The record is from RNAcentral.
AAGCGCUCUUCAAUCCCUUCUCUUUUUACCACUUCCAGGAGAAAUAAGUUUUAAUAUAUGAUUUCAUAAUAAAGAAAUAAAAACACACAGAAAUGGCAGAAAUAGACUUUUCCUCUUAAAGGCCCCACAACAGCCAUAACAGAAUCUUAGUUCUCUGUGCAGUUUAAACCCAUCAAUUUAUGCUGCACUGUAUUUUUCGUUGUAAGGUCCUAUGCUCUCACCUUGAUACCAGCUGCAUUUGCCAGAAUCACUAAGUAGGGCAGUAGGUAAAGUCCAGGACUAUAUGACUCCGAAGAAGUCAGCACCAAAGGGAUCCUGAUUUACAACAUGUGCUGUACCCUUCAUAGUGACUGAACAUAACCUUUAUGACAUUCCCUGUCCCAGAAGACCCAGGGGACAGAGAUCCAUUGUUCUUUCUGUCUCCCAAGGAACUGAGCACAGCAGAUACUGACUGGCACAACAUGUUUGUUUUCAGUUCAACAACAGAAAGACUCAUUUCAUUCAACUUUUGCAAGAUUCCUUCUCCCUCAAAUGUAUUUCAUCAUACGAUUGAUCAGAUACAGCUGGAAUUUUCAAUUCUCCCCUCCCUGCCCCCAACACCACCACCACCACUAUCUCACAAUUCCGAUGACCAUUUGAGGUACUGUUGUCCACAAUGCAGUACAAAGAAACAUGAUGGGAAUCCUGGAAGUUAUGGAGGACCAUUUACUUUGGAAGACCGAGAUUUCUCAUCCUUUUAAAGAAUUCAUUGUCCAGGAAAUGGCCACUUGCAAAUAUAAUCACAGAAAUAAUAAAUAAAUAAAUAAAUGUUAAGGACA